GGCCACUGCUGCCCUCAGGGUGAGCUCCUCACUGGGCAUCUCCUCCAGGACCCUGCUGGCACCUGGACAGGGGUACGGCCCUCCUCAGCGGGACUUGAGAAAGGUGGGAAGCCCAGGCUCAGUUCCGGCUCUGUAAGACCAAGGCCUGCAGCGGGCACAGUGCCCGCCCUCGUCAGCCCGGAGUAUCGUUUUUCUGUCUCCUCUGGACUUUGUUUCCCAUGUCCGGGUGGGGACGGAGAGGAGGGGCGCACCUGCUCCUGGGUGG
This 265-nucleotide long non-coding RNA is filed under the name Rattus norvegicus (Norway rat). Its description in RNAcentral is "long non-coding RNA NONRATT026537". The record is from RNAcentral. Lineage: Eukaryota; Metazoa; Chordata; Mammalia; Rodentia; Muridae.